GUUCCUUUAAGCAAAUUAAAGAACCAUUCUGGUCACCAUAACAACUUCACCUAAAUGAAAAUGCUAUGAUGCCAGGAAACCCCUGGGUGCUCGCUUUCCUUUAAGGGGUUAAAUUUCUCUCAAAUGGUUUAACCCCAAAGGCUUCCUCCAUCUCCAGGUCGCUCAGUGGUAUUUGGCUUCUGAAACAGAGUGUCAGGAAGUGCAGGUUGACGUCAGG
Molecule: non-coding RNA, 217 nt
Organism: Pelobates cultripes (western spadefoot toad)
Lineage: Eukaryota; Metazoa; Chordata; Amphibia; Anura; Pelobatidae
Source: the annotation of a GenBank genome assembly